This 508-nucleotide ribosomal RNA is filed under the name uncultured bacterium. RNAcentral's name for it is "partial 16S ribosomal RNA". It matches the Rfam family "Bacterial small subunit ribosomal RNA", at positions 30 to 523 of the family's 1533-position model. The record is from RNAcentral.
AUUGAACGCUGGCGGCAUGCCUAACACAUGCAAGUCGAGCGGCAGCGGGAAAGUAGCUUGCUACUUUUGCCGGCGAGCGGCGGACGGGUGAGUAAUGCCUGGGAAAUUGCCCAGUCGAGGGGGAUAACAGUUGGAAACGACUGCUAAUACCGCAUACGCCCUACGGGGGAAAGCAGGGGACCUUCGGGCCUUGCGCGAUUGGAUAUGCCCAGGUGGGAUUAACUAGUUGGUGAGGUAAUGGCUCACCAAGGCGACGAUCCCUAGCUGGUCUGAGAGGAUGAUCAGCCACACUGGAACUGAGACACGGUCCAGACUCCUACGGGAGGCAGCAGUGGGGAAUAUUGCACAAUGGGGGAAACCCUGAUGCAGCCAUGCCGCGUGUGUGAAGAAGGCCUUCGGGUUGUAAAGCACUUUCAGCGAGGAGGAAAGGUUGAUGCCUAAUACGUAUCAACUGUGACGUUACUCGCAGAAGAAGCACCGGCUAACUCCGUGCCAGCCGCCGCGGUAA